Molecule: non-coding RNA, 1587 nt
Organism: Gasterosteus aculeatus aculeatus (three-spined stickleback)
Lineage: Eukaryota; Metazoa; Chordata; Actinopteri; Perciformes; Gasterosteidae
Source: RefSeq, a predicted model, not a curated record
CCACCCCAGGUGUCCUUUGUCAGACCUGGAAGGCCACGCUGCCCGAGAAGAUGGAGGGCAUCGCUGACUCUUGCCUCGAGGUCCCGUGUCGUUUCGAUAUCCCCAUAAAGGAGGAAGCGAACAUCGUGAACUGCUCGGGGGGGGUCGUCUGGCAGAAAGGACGGCUCGGCGGCCCCGCGGUCUUCAAUGCACAACAUCCCCACGGCAACGCCAUACAGGGGGAACUGGUCGGGGACCCGACGAAGAAGAACUGCAGCACCACAUUCCACAACUUCCCCAAGAACCAGAGCGGCAUCUUCUUCUUCAGACUCAACUGUUUGAACCACGUCAAGUACAAUUUCCAUGAAGGCGUCGUCAUUGACAUCCAAGCAGAGCCGCCCCCCCCCCAGCUGACCUCUGUGGGUCAGGUGUCGGAGGGAGACCAGGUGAAGCUGCGGUGUCUGGCCCCGGUGCCCUGCUCCACCCUGCCCCCCUCCAUCACCUGGCUGCCCCGAGAAGCCUCCAGGCAGGAGCAGACACAGACGCAGCAGAGUCUGGACGGCCUGAGGACGAUGACCUCCACGUUGACCUUUGCCGCCUCAGCCGAGCAUCACAACCAGAGCGUCUCGUGCUCCGUGUCCUACCCGCUGAUCAGAGGGGGGAGCAGCCGCCCCCCCCCGGCCACCCACACCCUCACCGUCCUGUACGGUCCCAGAGUAACCGUGGCAACGCUCAGCACGUCGGUUCCCGUCCCCGAGGGCAGCAACGUGACCUUCACCUGUCGGAGCGACGCCAACCCGCCUGUGAGCCUCUACACCUGGUACAGAGUGGACGGCGGCGAGUUGACGAGGACGGGGAGGGACAGACGCUGGUCCUGAAGGUCACUCAGAAGGACAGCGGGGCUCAUCUGUGCGAAGCUCGAACCCAGAAGCUCUCCCAGCGGUCCGGACCUGUGACCCUGGAGGUCAGCGCCGCCACAGGCAGCAGGUUGGCGGCGGCGGCUCCCUACGCCCUGUGUGGAGUGUUGCUGGUCGUCUACAUGGUGACUGUGGUGGUGGAUGUGUAUAAGUACCAGAGUAUUUCCGGGAGGUUGAAGGUAAGUGGGAACUUCUCACCCCGAGCGGAGAGAGUGAGUGACAGCCAGACGGUGCCCGCCCCCGCAUUGCACUCAUAGAGACCUGAUAAAGACGCUUUGCCGUCCUGCUCGUCACCGUCUCGUCUCGCUGACAUCCUCGUUCCCGCUGACUCAUCUCGCGUGAUCUGUCACGUCGUCCAUUUGAGUCUCUCAACACGUCCGCACUCACAAAACAAAGAAACCAAGUAUUUUUAAAAAAGAGAUAAAGAGACAAACGUCAUGCGUCCAAAGUUCCUCACGGUUUACAUCUAGAGCGAAGAUCAAAAUGUAACUAUCGCUGGGAGACCUGUUGGGAGGUUUGACCCUUUCUGAAUGUUCAUUUCAGCGGAUCGAGCUGCAGGUCGAGCCGAGGCCCCGGAGCGCCGCCUCCGACUACGAGCAGCUCCAGCCACGUGGGCCGAUGACUUCUGAAGAAGCGCACAACUACGAGAACCCCAUCGCCCUGCGAGCCACGUACAAGAACCUCCCCCGCC